Molecule: transfer RNA, 74 nt
Filed under: Patescibacteria group bacterium
Lineage: Bacteria
Description: tRNA-Pro
Rfam family: tRNA
About the family: Transfer RNA (tRNA) molecules are approximately 80 nucleotides in length. Their secondary structure includes four short double-helical elements and three loops (D, anti-codon, and T loops).
Source: RNAcentral
CGGAGAGUGGCGCAGAUGGCUAGCGCGCGCGGUUCGGGAUCGCGAGGCCGCCGGUUCGAGUCCGGCCUCUCCGA